AUGUACAAUUAAUUUAAAUGUGUGAGAUGUAAGCUAUGUGUAAAUGUGAAUAGCAACCAUAAUUUACACGGAGUAACAUAUAUUGUUAUAAAUACAUCUUCAUCUUUGCCUCGUAAUGAGUACAUUAAUGACAAUGUCUAUAUUACAUAAAUUUGGUCUCACCACGAGGAGGUGGCUAUAUAAUCGAGAUCCAGACCUUAGGGGCCCCUAAACAACGAA
This 219-nucleotide unclassified non-coding RNA is filed under the name Eufriesea mexicana. RNAcentral's name for it is "vesicle transport protein USE1, transcript variant X1". Lineage: Eukaryota; Metazoa; Arthropoda; Insecta; Hymenoptera; Apidae. The record is from RNAcentral.